UAGGGGAGCCGGAGGGAAACCGAGUCUUAAGGGCGUUAAGUUGCAGGGUAUAGACCCGAAACCCGGUGAUCUAGCCAUGGGCAGGUUGAAGGUUGGGUAACACUAACUGGAGGACCGAACCGACUAAUGUUGAAAAAUUAGCGGAUGACCUGUGGCUGGGGGUGAAAGGCCAAUCAAACCGGGAGAUAGCUGGUUCUCCCCGAAAGCUAUUUAGGUAGCGCCUCGUGAAUUCAUCUCCGGGGGUAGAGCACUGUUUCGGCUAGGGGGCCAUCCCGGCUUACCAACCCGAUGCAAACUGCGAAUACCGGAGAAUGUUAUCACGGGAGACACACGGCGGGUGCUAACGUCCGUCGUGAAGAGGGAAACAACCCAGACCGCCAGCUAAGGUCCCAAAGUCAUGGUUAAGUGGGAAACGAUGUGGGAAGGCCCAGACAGCCAGGAUGUUGGCUUAGAAGCAGCCAUCAUUUAAAGAAAGCGUAAUAGCUCACUGGUCGAGUCGGCCUGCGCGGAAGAUGUAACGGGGCUAAACCAUGCACCGAAGCUGCGGCAGCGA
This 553-nucleotide ribosomal RNA is filed under the name Salmonella enterica subsp. enterica serovar Tennessee. RNAcentral describes it as "bacterial LSU rRNA". It matches the Rfam family "Bacterial large subunit ribosomal RNA", at positions 658 to 1211 of the family's 2925-position model. The record is from RNAcentral. Lineage: Bacteria; Pseudomonadati; Pseudomonadota; Gammaproteobacteria; Enterobacterales; Enterobacteriaceae.